UGGGCUCUGACCGGUAAGUGGUCAUGGCGAAAUGGGAUGAACCAUACGUCUGAAUAAGGUGCCGAAAUGUACUAUCACUGAUACCAUAAAGGGAGUCCAUGUAUUUAGACAGCAGGUCGGUGCCCCUAAAAGCAGGUAUCCGCUAAAGAGUGUGUUAAAACUCACCUGCCGAAUACUAGGGCCCCGAAAAUGAAUGGCGCAUAUAGUACUACCGAUCUCAGACAUCAGUUCUAUUGAACUGAGAGUAGGGGGAUGUGGACAUUUUUGUGAAGGUGCAAUGUGAGUUGGACUGGAAGAAUGUCUAUUACAGAUCCUAAUUGAAGUAGCGAUUAUCCAGGCUUGUAUCCUGGGGGCUGAUGAGGAGUAGGGUUUCUGGACAACUUAAACAGAUCCAGAGUUAGUCGAUCCUAAUCUCAAUAAUGGGAGAAAGGGAGUACAGUUGAUAUUCUGUAACUGACAACAGUUCGCGGCAACGCAUACUAUUUUUCUCCGCCAAUCUUAUACCGUUGGUAGGGAUCUCUUUCCUACAUGACAGUACUAAUACCCAGGGAAACUGGUCAUCAGGCGAACUGCGGCGUUCUGCUGGCAAAACAUAGCUUCGGUUAUGUCAAUGGCUAUUGGAUUGGUCCAUGAAGCGAAAAAUAGUUUACUGUGUCACUCGUACCGAUAACCGCAUCAGGUCUUCUAGGUAAGUAGCCUAUGGCCAUUGAGGCAUGAUAGUUCAGGGAAUUCGGCCAAUUAGAGCUGUAACUUCGG
RNAcentral lists this non-coding RNA (756 nucleotides) under Trichomonas vaginalis G3. RNAcentral's name for it is "Eukaryotic large subunit ribosomal RNA". It matches the Rfam family "Eukaryotic large subunit ribosomal RNA", at positions 1127 to 1939 of the family's 3401-position model. Lineage: Eukaryota; Parabasalia; Trichomonadida; Trichomonadidae. The record is from Rfam by way of RNAcentral.